GGGUGUCUAGCUCAGUUGGUAGAGCGCUUGCUUCGCAUGCAUGAGGUCAGGUGUUCGAUUCGCCUGUCAUCCA
Phellopilus nigrolimitatus is the source of this 73-nucleotide non-coding RNA. NCBI's taxonomy places the organism in Eukaryota, Fungi, Basidiomycota, Agaricomycetes, Hymenochaetales, Hymenochaetaceae. The record is from the annotation of a GenBank genome assembly.